UCUCUCUCUCUCUGAUCUAGAUUUAUUUCGGUAUGUGGUAAAUAUGCAGAUGAUAAAUUGAUAAUCACUGUAUGAAGAAGAAUGCUAUCUGGGUUACCUUUGUGUUACGAUCAUAAGAUUAGUGCAGCAACCAUUUUCAUAUAAUUAAGGGCAUAAGCAACCAUGAAGCUCAAUAAUUUCCCUAUUUUCUUUUUCUUUUUUGAAGGAUUAGCAACUUGUUAGAUAUGUAAUACUAAAAAAAUCUAAAAUUUAAAUAAUACAGGAACUAAAUUAAUAUUAUGUACCCUUAAUUCUGAUAAACACUAACUGUUUUUUUUACAUAAAAAUUCAUCCAAAGUGGUAUUGAUAAAAGAGCAAUUGCUUUUUAGGUUUUCAUUUGUCCCCCUAGCUAGUAUGAGGAGGAAAGUUUUCCAAUCGUGGAAGUAAAUAAUGCUUUUGAAAAGCAAGCAACCCCGUCAAGGUCUUACCAUAAUUGCUAUGAACAUCAUUUUUAUAACAAUGAUAUAUUUGGACAGUAUGAAGUGUGAUUACCAUUAAUCCUUUUCACUUUCUCACUAAUUAACCUUUUCUUUUCGUUUCUUAAUUUCUGGCAUCCUUCAUAUUGCUCCUGUUGUCAUUCUUGUGCGGAUACUGAUCGAGGUAAGUCAACAUAUUAUGAGGGACUUUCCUGCAACGGUGAUAUGCUCUUUUUUAUGUCUAAAUGACAAAGAGGGACUUGCCUGCAAUAGAAUUUUAAAAUUAUGAGUAGGGACUUGCUUACAAUGGAGAUAUACUUUUUGUGGUAUUCCUUUUACGUUGUCUUUCUCACUUUUAUGUGAUUACAAGAUAACGAUGAGUGAGAAAGACACGUAAGGGCUAUUAUAUCACCGUCGCAGGUAGGUCCCUCUUCGUCUUAACGACAAGACAAUGAGAUGCUUCUACCUAACUAGUCCAACUCUACUUCAUGGUUUUGCAAGAGGGGGCUAUAGGAUGUGUGGUUUGUGUUGGUGAAUGAAUGAGGUUUGAGUGUAAUUUGUGUUUGUAGAAAGUGGUUGAAGCGUGGUUCAUAUGUAUAUAUUGUGCGAUUUUUCAUACUUUAUCGCAAUUUAAAUAUUUUUAAGUAAAAAUGUUCACAUAAUAAAGUGCAAUUAAUGCAAACAAAUAUUUUUGGUAUUUCAAAAAUCUCAUUUGGCACUCCAAAUUUUUUGUAAUUGGAAAGAAAAAUACACUUGUAAGGAGUGUAGAAUGAGAUUUUUUAAGUGCUAAUAGCAGUUCCCAUAAUUUUUUAAAUUAACGGAAAGAAAAAAUUAAGGUAAAACGAUAUUAACAAUUUUUAACCUAAAAUUUAGGUCAUACCAUUAGAGAAAAAAAUACAGUUUCUAGCUAAAUCUAAAAGCCAAAUUCCAAAAUUUGUGUUGGCCUUAAACUAACCAUUGGAGUUGGUCCUAUCGGUGAAUCCUACCCCCUUUAAAUUAAAUUGGAAACAUGGUACCACCACCAAGGAAACACCACAACAUCUGUCUCUAUUCCUUCUCAUCCACGUCCGACUGACAGCGAUUUGCAACACAAAUGCAUCCAUAGCUUCUUGAUAUGUUUCUAAUCCAACUUUUUAACAGUGUAGUUAAUCUCUGCUUCGUGGUUUAAUAGCUGAUUAACUUCAAGUUAAUUCAGUUCGUGAGAGUGUGACUGCAGAUUUUUUUGCUCUUCCCUGCAAAUAAGUAGCCCUGUUCACACCGACAAAACUUUUCAUGUUUUGGAAAGGCGACAAACAGCGAUCUUUGGAUGCUUCAAUGAUUUGAUUUCACUGGAAAAAAAAAAAAAGUGCAAAGCCAGAAAAAUCUGAUUAUUUUAUCUCUUUUAUUUGUUGGUUUUUUAUGUUUAAAGUAAAUGGCUACUAUUUUUCCCACACAAAGCAAGAUAAGAUGGCACUUUUAUCUUUUUUCUCUCAAAAGUUUUCAAUACCUUGACUUCAAAACUCACAUUAUGAAUUGAAGGGAAGUAGGCGAUGAGGUUUUGCUUCCGCAUGAGUGACAUCGUGGCUUAAUUUUGGCUCAAAAGAACUACACAGUCGAACUGCUUGGAUUGAGUGAUCGAGGACAGUUGACAACAGUCAAGUAUUUGUUGGUAUCAAGUGUCUGUAGGUCGUACCCAGUGCACAAGGCUCCCGCUUUACGCAGGGUCUGGGAGAGGUGAAUGUCGGCUAGCCUUACCCCCAUUUUAUGGAGAGGCUGCUCCCAAAUCAAGUGUCUGUAGGUACUCAAGGAAAAUUAAAAUGGUUGCAUUUCGACUUUAAGGACAAGCAAGGGACCAACCAGUAUCAUAUAUACCGAAAUCGAGACUGGAAGUACCAAUAUAUCUACCGAAAUCGAAACUUAAAUACUUAGUUCUAGAGAGUUGCAAAGCAUAGCAUAUUGUCUAACAAUCCAAGCACUGAGAAAGAAUAAAAAUAAAAAUAAACCUCAAACUUAUAAAGCAUGGGUAAUUUUGAAGAGUUUAAAAGAAUAAUUUCAUUGCUCUUUUGCAGAAAUUGUCAUCAUCUAAUAUGUAAAAGAAAGGUAUCAACUCAAAGGUAAUGCUUCUGGUAAAGAAAAAACCAAGAACAAGAGUACACCAGCAUAGCAAGUACGACAGAAGAUUCUAGGUUGGUACAAAUGCAUAUACAGUUUUAUGCCAAACAUUCUCGGACGAAGAAAUGGACAAAAGACCGGCACAAGUACAGCACGACGUGCCAGGCUCGGUUGCCUCUCUUAAGCAAAAGAUUAGAAGUAAAGGAAUCUGAUGCACAUGGAUGCAGCUAACUUAUGCUUCAGCCUUGCAUUGUGCUGGUGAAGUCAAUCAACUGUCGCUGUGGAUUCUAUAUGGUACAAACAACUAAUGGUAAAUGUAUAACAAAGAGAUGCACAACUUACUGGUCCUCUGUUAGUGCUAUAAAGUGCUAUAAUUGGCCCCACCAAACCAGUCCAAAUAGUCUCUUUCAAAUCGGGUUUGGAUCCUGAGCUAAGAAGCAGUGCUUCCCGAGCCUUUUCUCUGGGAGCAACGUUCUUGUCAACCAUUUUCUUCAGCAAUUCCAUUGCUUUACAAACCAAACCCCUUGGCCACAACCCGUAAAUUACCUCACUGAAUGAGGAACAAAAACGAAUGAGAACCUUAUCUAACAUUGCUUCCACAAAGACACAAGCUUCAUCAACAUCUCCUUUGCACAAUAGACCAUCCAACAUAACCCUAACUCUCUUGCUCUACUAAGCUCCCCGUUUUUGCAUAAUGCCUUUACCAAGAUGUUAUAAGUAAACGAAUUAGGCUUGCACCCCAGCUCUCCAGACACGAAAUCAUGUUUAAUCAUGCCUCCAUAUUGUUCUGAUUGCACAAACCAUGAUAGACAAUGCCCUUUGACGAUGGGAUUUGUCUACUUUGUUUUUUCCCUUGCAUCUUUUUUACUCUUACUUUUUUGCUACUCCGAGGGACUUGCAAUUUAAAUAUACCUGGUAAGUAUAAACAUCAGAUGCACUGUUUACUGGUGAUCCAAGUCAGUGCGCCAUCACCUAUGGAAGUGCUACUAUUGGCUCCACCAAACCCGUCCAAGUAGUCUCCUCUAAGCUGGGUUCAGAUCCUGAGCUAAGGAGCAGUGCUUCCCAAGCCUUUGAUCUGGGAGCAACGUUCUUGGCAACCAUUUUCUUCAGCAAUUCCAUUGCUUUACAAACCAAACCCCUUUGGCACAACCCAUAAAUCACCUUAUCGAAUGAGGAACAAAAAUGAACAAUAACCUUAUCUAACAUUUCUUCCAUAAAGACACAAGCUUCCUCAAUGUCUCCUUUGCCAAACAGACCAUCCAGCAUAAUCCUAUAAGUCUGCAAGUUUACCCCAACACCGUUUAACGUCAUCUCACGCAUAAGAUUUCUAGCCCUCCUAAGCUCCCCACUGUUACAAAUUGCCUUCAGCAAGAUGUUAUAAGUAAUCAAAUUAGGCUUGCACCCCAACUCUUCCAUAGAAGUAAUCAUCAUCAAUCCCGAUUGAACUUUAUUCUGCUUACACAAACCACUUAUAUACACAUUGUAGGUAUAAACAUCCGGAACCAAACCCAACACAAGCAGCUCAUCAAAAACCUGAUCCGCCUUCUUGAAAUCCCCUUCCGCGAUAAAGCCAUGUAAGACCAUGGUAUAACAAACAAUGUCAGGCUUAAUUCCUUCCUCCUUCAUCUUAACCAACACAUUCAAGGCAUCCAAACCCCUCCCCUGUUUCACCAUAACCCUAAUCACAUUGGAAUAGUCCAUCAUCCCAGGACAAAACCCAAGUAUCUGCAUUUCUCCCAUAAACCCCAUAACAUCAACACACUCUGAAUCCUUUUGUUCACACAAUGAUAACAAUAUCAAACCGCAAAUCUUCACAUUCAAACCAUAACCAUUAUUCAUCAUACAAUUCAUAAUCUCAAUAGCAUAUCCAACCUUCCCAAUUCCACACAAAGCACUGACCAAAAUCCAAAAACUCGAUUCUUCGAGCCGGAUGCCCAUUACGUGGCUCCUGAGCAAAAUCUCGGGAACCAAUUUAAGACCUUCACAGGACCCACAAAGCACAUACAACAAUGCAUUGAGAGAGUGAGCAGAAGGGACACACCUGAACUUGGGAAUUCUGUAAAACAGAUCAAUUGCGUCCUGGGUUCUGCUCCAACGGCCAUAAAAACAGAUUAGAUGGGAAAAAAUGUGCUCCGGCGUGUCGAACUUUUCGACUUUUUCGAGCUGGCAGAGAACCGGAACGAUGUGGUCGAACUGGGAGGUUUUGGUGAGGGUUUUGAGGACAAAGUGGUAGGCUUCCGGGGUUGGGUCGACGUUGUAGGUUUUAAAGGAGUAAUGAGCGUCGGAAGAAGGUGGCAGGGUGGCGGCAAUGAUUUUUUGAGGCUUUGGAAGGCUUGGUUUUGGUUGAAGAUUUGUUGCCAUCUGGUGUUGUACGGCGAGACCGGCCAUUUCCUGUGCUUUCUCAGGAAGAAUUUGCUACUGGGUUUUAGUGCAGAUGCUCUCACCAUUUUUUAUUCGAUUUGAAACUCGGAUUGUUUGGGUUCAUCUGUUUGUUUCAGGUGGGAAAUACUCGUUGGGAUAUAUCGGUUUCUGCAGCUUCUUGCAGGGAACACGACGACCAAAAACGACAUGUAGUAUUUUGGGCAUAUUAACGGGCUGGAAUAAUGGUCCAUUGGGUUUUUACUUUUAAAUUUUUUUUUAUGUCGAACAAUUUUGGUAAAAAGAAAAGAGAACUAAAAAGACUCGAUUUAUUCGGUUUGGUUCGGUUCUAUUUAUGAUUUUGGAUUUUCAUUUUUCCAUGCAUAAUUUAUAUGCAACUGAUCUCUAAUGAUCAAUCAACCCUGGCUAUCGAUCAAUUUAUGGUUUUGCAGAAUGUUAGUGUCGGUCAAUCAAUUAUAUUGUGUCGAUAACUUGAUUGUAAUGUGUCAUUGCAAUUAAUUAUUCAAAUUUCGCAACUAUCACGUGUUGAAGAUAACCUCUUUUGUUCUAGUGACCUUUCGAUUUAAAUUUCGCAACUAAUUAUUGGCUAUUAAAUGUUAAAACAACAUUUGGGAUCAAAGUUGAAAACUGGAAGCUGGAAGAUACCUCAAAAUUUACGUGAGACCAAAUCAUGGUAAGCAGUACAAGAAAAGAGAAAAGUCAUGGUAUGUAGUAUUCAUCAAAACUUAAAAUAUUAAUAGACAACAAGCGUGUACAAGUUAAGAUAUGAUACUAGGGUUUAGGUAAGAAACGGGUCAAAAAGUUACUAGAUAAAAUGUCGUUUCAAACAAUCAUUCUCAGUUCAUGGAGCUUGUUUAUAUCGUCUUGCACAAAAAUUGGUUGAGGCGAAUAGGAAUAGACAAUAUCCUUUGGUAUACUUGCUUGUGACUUUAGCAUUGAUUUACACAUUACGACUAUUUUGGUGAAUUUUUUUUUUCAAUAAUUUGAGAAAGAUAUACAAUUUUACUAAUAUUAAUAUUGUAGUACGAUAUUUCUAAUAUAUGAGAGCAUGUUAUUGCUGAUAACUAUAAAUGAAAGUAUGGUAUAUCUUUGGAAGCUUUUUAUUUUGAUCCCGUUUUUGUAAGUUCAUGGCUCCGCCACAUCUCAUCAUAGUUUAAGAACCUUAACACAUGUUCAAUGUGUUAAUCAACCAUGUUUUUAGGACGUCUUCGUACAGCUGUAGAGGAAACUUCACUACAAUUUAGGUUUUGUUCAACACGCUAGUAUGCAUAUUAUCAUGAGACCAAGUCGUGGUAUGCAACAUGGAUUACGACUUUAUAUUUGACGGUAGAACCAAAACCUUGGAUUUCCUACCCUAUAUCUAUAUAAUGCUGCUUUAAACUUUAUCACCAACAAAACAAAGUCUUUUUGUUGAGUUUGCCAUAUUCUGAUUGACUAGUCAAUAUACGAAAUACGUUUUGGUAUAAGCAUAUAACCGUCCGCAGUGCCAAGAUUGUCUUUCCAUAAAUAAAAAACCACGACAUCGAACAUUUCUAUGAUCAUGAAACAAGCAGAACCUAGCGCACCAUCGUUAGCAUCUGCUAACCCGGAUCCCGGAUCAGCAGCGCAUGCUAAUCCCACCGCCCCGAUCGUCAGCCCUCACUUUUGCAGUCCUAACCCUGUGGUUAUUGAAAUUGUCAGAAAAGUUCGAACCAUAACAGGUGACAAAUUUGUAGUCGCUGAUGUCAAUGGUAACAUGAUUUUUAAAGUUAAAGAAGCUCAUUUCAGCUUUCAUGAUCACCGAGUCUUGCUUGAUGCUGCCGGACAUCCUAUUAUCACUCUAAGAAGGAAGGUAAGAACAUAAAACUCAUUGAUAUAUUAUGUAGCUCUUGAACUUUAACUAUUGUUUGUGAAUUAAAGUCUCAGUUCAUAACGUAAUGUUGCUAGUUAGUGAAUGUAAACCAUAUAUUCUGACACGAAUCAGCUUCAUUAAUAAUUCUGACAAUAUGAUAGUUUAACGAGAUAAUACUUUUGUUAGUUUAUAUACUAAUUCUAUUGCACUUAACCAACUUUUUUUUUAUAUUCUCAAAUAAAUAAUGCAUGUAGUCUAAUAUUUUAGUGGAUAGAGUGUUGGGUUUCUAUGAAUGCGUUUCGGUUCAAAACUCUCAUUCCUCUAAUUAUUGUAAUAAUUUCGAACUCUCCCCCUAAUAAUUAAUAGUAAAAAAAAAAAAAGUAUUCUCAAAUAAAUAAAUAAACUAACUUAUUGGUAUGUUUUUUGUAUAGUUCAACACUGCACAUGAAAGAUGGCAAGUUUUCAGGGGGGAUAGCAAAGACUCAAGGGAUCUGAUUUUUAGUGCUAAGAGAUCUUCAAUGUUCCAAUUGAAGGCCAAGUUGGAUGUUUUCUUAGCACAAAACAUAACAGAGAAUGUACCUGACUUCAAGGUCAAAGGAAAUUGGUCUGAACGAUCUUGUGUCAUACAUGCUGGGGACUCCUCAACCAUGCUUGCCCAAGUAAGCUUUCAUCAAUUUUAUAUUCAGCCAUAAUAUCUUAUAAUUAACAUAAUUAAGCAAUCAGAAGCUUAGUUUGUUUCUUCAGAAACUUAAUUUCUCCACAAGUACUGACUGGGAUAAAUAUGUUAUGGGGAAAAUUGCAGAUGCAUAAGAAGCACACAGUUACACCCGUGUCAUUUGGCAAGAACAAUUUCACGGUGACAGUGUAUUCGGGGAUUGACUACGCAUUCAUUGUCGCGCUUAUUGCAAUUUUUUGUGAGAUUAACACUCCCUCGAGCUCGGGCUCAAGCGUCGGGGUGACUGAUUUGCAUGGAUUUACUACCUCUUAAUUAGGAAAUGAUGCAUCUUUAUCCUUUGGCUUUGUGCUUUGUUUGGGCCUUGCCCUUGUUUCUAUUUCAUUAAUCAUUUCUAACAAUACAUAGGUGUCGAUUUAUUAUAAAACUCCGGUGACCAAGAAAAUGAUCUGGAGAUGAAUUUGCUCAAACAAGACAACAAUAGUGAACCUCUAAAUAGCUACCACAUAUACAAAAGCUUCACACAUCACCCAUACAAACUAUCAUAAGACAAUAGGUAUAACAAACUUGUAUCGGCAACUGCAAAAGGUCAUCGCUGAAUAACGAGGUCACAUAAAAUCAUUCCGGAAACGAGACCACAUAAGAUCAUUGUAGCUAGACGAGACCACAUAAUACAUCGCUCAUGCGAAAACCAUAUCUAGUCAUCAUUGCAAAACGGCCACAACAGAACUAACUAAGCAAAACUAAAUUAAACUACGCUUAAACAAACUAAACCAAACUACUCCAAACUGUUGGAAAUUUAAAUAGUUUGAGUAGACAUUUCAUUGUCCCACAUUGGCCAUUCCCAAAAGAUUUUAUCACUUUAUAAGGCUUUGUCCUUUAUAGAAAGUGAUUGGAGUAAUAGGCCUGAAGACUAAAAUUGGGCUCACCCUUGGGGCUGGGCUUUGGAGUGCAUUAAUUAAUUGGUAAUUAAUAUAUAAUUAAUUAUCAAAAGAUGGGCUCUAAUAAUUAAAUUAUUUAAUUAAUUAUUUUUCGGAUUUAAUUAAUUAUUUUUUAAAAUUCGAAUUUGAAGUCUGAGAGUUCUUUCUGAACACAGAGCAAAGCACCCCUUGAAGAGAAGUCUCUCAACAGUCACACCCCAUUCUCAUACCUGUUGCAAACAAGCAUCCAUCUGCUAUAUAUACAUACAUCUGCAUGGCAUUUAGUAGACAGAAAAUAAUCAACUUCAUCUUCUACGUUCCUAAACCUCUUACUGAGAGAACCACACUAAAUUCGCCAGAAGUUAAAUUUUUCGGUGUCGGAAUUUUAACUUGAUCGUUGAAUCCUAGUAAAGCAGAUGUCCGUAGAACUACAAGCACAGAGCAGGGACGAAAUUUCUGUUUCAAGAACAUUGCGGUACGCAAGCCUCAAUCUUCAAGUUGUUUGUUUUUAUAAUUCGUAUUUUAGUUUAUAUUCUGUUAAUUCCUAUUGCAUUUAUUAUUUAUUAGCAUAUAUAAAUUAUCAUAUUGUUGACAUACAUCUAACACAAACGACUACUCCGAGAACAGAACCCCAUGUCGACUAAUUUCGAUUGAGGGUUACGAAACUCUGACGAAAGCCACCUGCAAUGGUACAAAAUGGGUAUGCACAAUCAACAAUUCAAAACAAAGCGGCAGAGCCGCAACCAUUGAAACUCAGGCCGGAGAUUCCAAAUCUGAAAUCCUCAAGCGCGGGGGGGGGGGGGGGGGGUGCUACAAGUGGUGCAACAUCCAGAUUAGCAUGCCUAAGGCUAUGCAACACUAACUUAUGCUCGGCGCUGCGACAUAUUUGGGCGCAGAGGCGCUGCGACAUAUUUGGGCACAGAAGGCGGCGUGACAAAUUUGGGCGCAGAAGGUGCGGCAACCACAGAAAACGUCGAUGAAAGUAUCACAACACCGAAUCAGAUAAACGGAAGUGGUUCUAACCUACCAACAGUCCCAAUCCAAACCCUAAACCCAAAUCAAGAAGGAGACAUUGAGAAGGGCAUAAUCCGGAUCUAGGUAAGAGACACGAAGCCCUGGGACUACACAACACAAAAUGUUUGGAGGGAAAAAACAGGGAGGGAGAAAUGAAAUCGUGUUGAAACUGAGAUGGGGAAAGGGGAUGGCGAAGCGGAUGGGAGGAGAAGGAAAGCUGGUUGCAGAAAGGAAGGAAGGGAAAGCUAGGGGGAGAUAGGAUGGGCUGCCACUGGCCCCAAGCCAUGGCAAGGGCCCCGCGGCUAUGGGGACUGCAACUAAGGGUUUUCUCGGGAGGGAAAAAGGUUAGAGGAAAAGGCCGGACUUUCUCGGCUGCAAUAAUAUUGUUCGGUUUUGCUUUAUCUUUAUAUUUUUUAACUUAUGUUGCUGAACAAUUUGUCUUUCGGUCUUUAUUAUAUAAUGAUAUUUUAACGGGGAAUCUUUUGAGAUUCAUUUUUAUUUGUAAAUAAGAGGGGUAUUAGGUUCGAUUUUCAUCAAAAGAGAAUUUGAAUUACAUUAUUGUCAACUCAUUGUGAGACUAAUCUCAUCCCCUCAUCUAUAGUGUAAAAAAAAAAAAAAAAAAAACAAAGGGUGAAAAAGGAAUUUGGGUUAUAAAUCCACAAUAGCAAUAAUAAUUUCGUACGUAUACAACUUAUCAUAUAUCAAAGUUGAAUCUAAAAUAUUGAAAGGAUAUACUACUACAUAACAAAUCUUAAGAUUUAUGAGUGGUAUCAACUGGUCUUAUUGUGCCAAUUUGAUCGCAAUUGCAUGCUCAAGUUUCGCAACUAUCCGACGUUGAUAUAUGAGAGAAAAUGACGACUAGGGGAUAUUACCUAAUUUUAGUUGUUCGAAUUUUAUUAAUUUCAAAUUAAAAAGGGUUAAGGGAAAACUUAAAGUGGAGUACAAAUUCAACGGAAAUUUAGGCGCAUAACUAGUUUAUUGGUAUUUUACUUCAUUUAUAAGGGAACCGGAUCCUCUCCGAGGCAAACCUUCGGGAUUCUGCUUAGCGACAAACACGGGCCGUUGGAUUUUGAUUCAACGGCUACAAUUAUUAUAACUUUAAGAAUGAUCCCUUGUUUGUAGUCGUUGGAUCGAAAUCCAAUGGUUUGUGUUUGGCACUCAACAUGAUCCUGAGGGUUUGCCUCGGAGAGGAUCUAGUUCCAUUUAUAAGUGAGAGAGUGAGUUCGAUACACAUGUUUGGUGAGUAUGUAGAAUAUUAUUGAGUUAUAUGUCUAAUUAUGGUUACAUUGUUUGACUUAGCCCAUUGUCCACUCCUCUAAAGAGCAAAUGAUUGGCCAUAAAUAAAAAGAAGACCUGGUAUUAGGGGUGCAACUCGGAUAGGUUGGAAGAUUAACCCAAUCCUAACCCAACUUUUACAAUUCGGGCUCGGAUUCGGGUUGAGUUUCAUUCGAGUUCAUUUGGGCUCGGGUUUACUUGAGUCAGGUUCGGGUUGCCCAACUUUUUCAAGUUUAAUCUUGUAACAACUUAGUUUCCAAGAAUUCCUAAAAAAAAUUAAGUCAAGUAGCAUCAAAGCUAGCUAACUUUAAUUUCAUAAAUCAAUUUUCUAUAAAGCUUUAGGAUUUAGAGACUACGAAUAUGCUAACUAAUCAAAGCCUCUUAUUCCGUAAAAGCUUAAGUAAUUAUAAAGGGUAAUUUAUUAAAAAAAAAAUUAGAAAGGGCAUUGGUUUUAGGACUUGUCUCACUUGGGUGUAGUAUGAACAUUAAUUGAUAUGGGUUAUAAUCUGGUUAGAUUGGGUUUGAUUAGUUGGGUUGGGAAUUGACGGGCAAAUGAUUAGCCCAACUCAACCUAAUCAAUGAACAGGUUGAAAUUGGGUUGGGUUCGGACGAGUUAUAAUUAAAAAAAACCCCACUUGUUUGGGUUUAAAGUGGGGUUGGACAUGGGUGGGUUCGAAUUGGCCCAACCCAAAUUGCACCCUCACCUGGUAUGAGCCUUCCCAUUUUAUUUACACAAAAGUCGCACUACUUUGACCUACCAACUUUGAAGCCCAAACCAAGGCUAAGACGACCAUCUCACUUCUCUCUUACUUGUUUGAGGCUUCGGACAUAAGUCUCUCUGAAGUGUGAUUGCCACACAUACGACCAGGGCCUGGUAUAUUGUGCCCCCUUAAAUGUAUACACAUGUGUCAUCCAACACGCUGAGGUCAUUAUUGAGGUCGUGCUAACCGCCUCAAGACGCAGUUAAAUGCCACCUACCAGGAAUUACAGUCACUGUCAACACCUAAUGAAUGAUCUACCAUGCUUCAGCUCAGCGACAUGAUCGAGGCUGCUCCUUCUCCCUAGCCUAUAAAUUAAAUAGAGGCCUUCAAGCUCAAGAUCUUCGUUAAAUUCAAUCUCUACGAUUAAACAAAACCUUGAGUGAUUCUUCAAUCAACCCAACUAUUUUUUCAGCGCAAACCCAAUUGAUCUUUAGCAAAACUUUCUUAGCUCUUCAGCUACAAUCUCAAAGUCUUCCUUCAAAGAAAACACCACCUAUGAUUCCUGAUAUUUAAAACUUUUACAACUCUGCCACCCUAUGGUAUGAUUCAAUUGAUCUGUAAUUCAUACCACCCUGACUUCCUAUCUGAGAUGCAUGUUUUGUACUAAGUCAUAUCAUACACUAGUGAUCUUGGUGAAUUUCUCUAGCCUUAUCUUACUCUUAUGGGCAUGAUCUUGCUAGAGUUUUACUGCUUUCCUUGUACUUUCAGUUAAUUUAUAUUUUAAGUUAUGUAGUUCGACCCAUCUGCUUAAAUUUUACUUUUGUGAACGUUUGUUAUGAAUUUCUCGUUCUAGUUUCUAUUUCGCUUUCAUUUACUUUUUAAGCAAGCAUACACAAAGUUACACUAAAUUUUAAGUCCUCGUUCGCUUGAGACACAUAAAGAAUUUAACUAAACCAACAUCCCAUUCAGUGCUUAAUCAUUUAGUUAAGAAGUUAGAUUAACGCACAACUUACACACACACACACUCAAACAAAAUAUUGUUUGUUGGCAGCUCCAAUAAUGGCAUGUAUAUUCUCUCAUUCUCUCUAGCUAUCCCGCAGCAUUGAGACAAAAAGCAACACAGCAAAAACGUGUUGAACCUCCUGCUUCAUCCGAGUUUUGGCACCCCCAGAAAAUCCUCUCCUUUUAGAUUACCAUGACCAUCAUUUUUCCAAUUGCUGCCUCUAAUUUUCCCACCUUCUAGAAUGCCAUUAAAUUGGACCCCAAAACAAAAAGGUGAUGUGAUCAAAAGUCUUAGUUUCCGUUUCUUUUAUUGACUUUGCUCUAUUCCAAUCGAAUGCAUCCAAUAUACGUAACACGCUUUGGCGUAUAUACCUACAGAUAACCAACCUCAACGCCAAGUCGUCUCUCCAUAAACAAAAGAUCACAGGGGUUCAUCGACAUCCAAUAUUUCUCCGAUCAUGAAAGAAGCAGAAGCUGGCGAACGAUUAUUAGCAUACGCUGAUCCAUCUCCAUCAGCGUUUACUAAUCGCGAGCUAACAGCGUCCGAUAAUCCAGCUGCUGCGAUCAUCAGCCCUCACUUCUGUAGUUCCCAUUCUAUGGAUCUUGCAAUUGUCAGAAAAGUUUUAACGAUACGUGAGGGCAACUUUGUAGUCACCGAUAUCACUGGUAACAUGAUUUUUAAAGUACGAGGAUCUCUUUUAUUCAGCCUUCAUGACCGCCGAAUCUUGCUUGACACUGCCGGGUAUCCUAUUAUUACUCUAAGAAAAAAGGUAUGGCCUUCUAUUAAGAGGUAAUUUGUUAUACCAUACAUGUCCUAGAUUCGCAAAUCAAAUCCAUAAAUAUUUGCUUCUCGAUUUAUAUGAUGUAUAGAUUACUUGUUCAGAGUAAAUCUUACAUUGGAAAAAUUAGAGGUCUUGCAUGUGCUUAUAAAUACUUGAGUUACUUCCUAUAUUACCAAUUGAUUUCACGAUAGAACCAACUUUUGUCAUGUUAUCAGAGCGAAUUGUCCCUCGUGUGAAGCACAACCGCCACACGUACUCCACAUCUUGCUAUUUGUGUUGUGCUUGUAAUUCGCCACAUAAGGAGACGUGUUUAGAGUGAAUCUCACAUCUCAACCUUAUUUGCUUAUAUGCAAUUGGACUACUCUCUAUAUUACUAAUUAGUUUUAUAGUGAAACCAUAACUUUCCUCGUUAGCGAAGAAUCUGAACGAGAAGAUGUCGAAAGUUUGUUCUUUUUACUGAAGUCGACUUACUGAUUCAUAAGUUUUAUGGUGUAUAUAUAGUUGACGAGUGCACACGACAGAUGGCAAGUUUAUAGAGGGGAUAGCAAAGAAACCAGGGAUCUCAUCUUCAGUGCUAAGAAAUCUUCAGUCGUCCAAUUUAAGACCACAUUGGAUGUUUUCUUAGCACAUAACAUUACAGAGGAUGCACCAGACUUCAAGGUCAAAGGAAGUUGGCAUGAACAAUCCUGCUUCAUAUACGGGGGAAACUCCUCCACCAUCGUCGCCCAAGUAAUUAAGAUUAAUUUCAUUAAUUUUUAUUAUAAUACGUUAGUAUUUUAAUUAAUGCAAUGUUAAUUUGGCAAUCAUAUACUUAAUUAAUUAUUUUAUGCAAUCACUUUGUAGAUGCAUAAGAAGCACACAGUUAAAAGCGUGCUGUUUGGGAAGGACAAUUUCGUGGUGACAGUGUAUCCUGGGAUUGACCAAGCAUUCAUCGUCGCGCUUAUUGUGAUUCUUGAUGAGAUUAACUGGUAAUCAAAAUUGAGGUGAUAAUUAAUUUGGAUCUACUUCUUAUGUUAAUUAUGAACAAUGCAUCUUUGUCUUUUGUUUUUUUUUUUUUUUUCGGUGAGAGAAAGUUUAUGGAGAGGGAACGCUACUCCAUCUCAGAACUAAAAUGUACUAUAAGCCUUUUUAAGGAUUUACAAAGUGGUUUUAGGUCAUUUUAUUAUUUUUACAAAAUGUCCACCAACAGAAAUUGCUGGCAGUUUAAAUCUUGAUCUAGAGAAGGGAAUGAUCUUUCUGUACCAACUCAACCAACUCUCAUAGCCAUUGCACCCUCGUUGGCAACAAUACUUUGGUUUAUGUAUACAUAGUCUAUCACAGUUUUUGUUUUUUUACUAACCAGUUGCGGUUUUUCAAUUUUCAAUUAGGGCGCCUUACUUUCAUCCAGCGUUUUCAAAUUUAUUUGGCUUCUCAAAUUGCCAUUAUUUAUGAAAUCUAGCUCUUUUAAAUUUCUUUCUUCUAAUGGUGUGAGAGGUUAGUGGCUAAAACAUAUUAAGUGACUAGUUUUCAUUAGCUACCAGCUCCUUCCUAAGUUAACACUUUCUGUAAGCAAGAGUCGAGGCAAAACUAGCCCCUUAAAGAGCCCUGACAUAUUUUAGCCUAAGUUAAAUAUGUCAUAUUAGAAAUUGAAUUUUGUCAUUUGGAGCUAAAUAACGCUCUUUUCUAAGUUACUUUGGAUGGGUAGAGGAUUUUUUAGCAGGUUAGGAAUUUUUGCCGUUUUGAAAUUGAAUUUUGGUAACAUAUAAUUGCAAACUGUAUUUGCUUGCUGGGUUUUCCUUUAAAACUUAAAACACCAACUCAUAUUAUCAAAAAUAAAAAAAAAAUAAAAAACUAACGUGAUGGUCUGAAGAAGAAGAUAACAAUGUGACACUGACACCUAGACCUGUAAACGGGUCGGGUUUAUUGGGUUUGGAUCAGGGUUCACCCAACCCAUUAAGUUAACGGGUCAUCCGAACCCAACUUAUUAAACUCAUUGAUCACCUGUUAACACCCAUUAACAUUUUUUUUUGUUUAAUUUUGCAUUCCAAUUCAAAUUCAAAAAUCCAUCCAUUUCAAAAAUCCAACAUGCAAUGCCAAUAUGCAAAACCAAUGGAAUCAAUCCAUUUUGACAGUUACCUCUAUUAUCCAUCCUUUUCGUUGUUUGACAAAGGCGUGCCAUGACCUUCUUCUUCAAGUCCGAGACAGAGAAGCACUUGAAGGAAAGAUCCCGAUCCAGCAAGCCAGAGGACGAGUUGCCGCUGUUGGAGGAGAGAAGCUUGACUACCUCUCGAGAAAGCGGCUGAGACGAAGUGUCAGAGCCACCGGAGGAGUAGGAAGAGUCAUCUGUUGCCAUUUUGAGCCGGGAAUGUAGUCCUGGAGCAUAUCGGCGACCUCUUUGAAGUGGCAGAUAUAGGCUUUGAGUUUGAGGGCUUCCUAUUAUAAGUAUUGAAAUUACACAAAAACCCUCAAUAACGGGUGUUAACGGGUUUUGCAGAUUGACCCAAAAUGACCUGUUAUUUAAUGGGUGAUUAAUAGGUUGACCCGUUAACAACCCGACCCGUUAAAUACUCACCUGAAUACUAAUUUUAACGGGUCGGGUGUAAAAUGCCAGGUCUACUGACACCCCAUUUUUACAAUAAACCAGUGACGUUGUAUGUAAUAUUUAAGAAAUUUAAUUAAAAUCUGCUAAUUACAUCCUAAUACUAGAUUCAAUGCUAUUUUAUUAUUUUAUUAUAAAAACUUGGAUAGUUAAUUCGACGUUAGAUUCACAACAUAUAUAUAACGUUAAGAACUUACCAGUGAGACAUAAGUCUCUAAAAUGUGUGACUUUAAUUUAUGAAAAAUUAGAUAAAAUAGUUUAUGGUGACAAGUCACGGUUAUCCACUAUUUCUAGGCUCGGGAAACUACUGCAGAAUUUCACCUUAACCAGGGAAAUUUCACCUUACUAGUGGCCAUAGUCAAGCAGAUUCAAUCAAAUUCACCAGAGUGUGCAAGUCAUGGAGGUCUCUGAUCCGAAGCCCUAAAUUCAUUCACACCUACCUAUCCCUUUCAAUCGUCCAACCAAACAGCCAGAACGACGGCGGUCAAAUCCUCCUCCUACAGAGUUCAGACGAGGGAUGGCACGGUAGGCACCCCUUCGAAUUCGACCAGUAAGUAUUUCAACCUUAUGAACCCUGCCCAAAAUAAUACACUAGGGCCAAAAUAAAUAUACCCGACCCAGAAUGGGUGCCAUCCUCCUUUCCGCUUUACAUGUAAAAGGUGUCCUUCCUCAGUUCUUCUUGUUGGAAGGUGUACAUAUAUAUACAAACACACGUAUAUAUACAUAUAUUCCUACGCACGAGCAACGGGUAAUCAUCUUUCAACCAAGCCAAAAGUGCCCAAAAUAGGUAACAAUUCAAAACUUAUCU
Molecule: long non-coding RNA, 16509 nt
Filed under: Malus domestica (apple)
Lineage: Eukaryota; Viridiplantae; Streptophyta; Magnoliopsida; Rosales; Rosaceae
Description: long non-coding RNA (MDOM_LNC004052)
Source: RNAcentral